AGGAUAAACGCUGGCGGCGUGCUUCAGGCAUGCAAGUCGAACGAGCACUUCGGUGCUAGUGGCGGACGGGUGAGUAACACGUAAGCAACCUGCCCGGAAGUGGGGGAAUAACUUGCCGAAAGGCGAGCUAAUACCGCAUGUGAUGUUCCUUCCCUGGAGGGAUCAUUAAAAGGCGAAAGUCGCUUCUGGAGGGGCUUGCGGUCGAUUAGCUAGUUGGUGGGGUAAUGGCCUACCAAGGCGACGAUCGAUAGCUGGUCUGAGAGGACGGUCAGCCACACGGGGACUGAGAUACGGCCCCGACUCCUACGGGAGGCAGCAGCUAGGAAUCUUGGGAAUGGGCGAAAGCCUGACCCAGCAACGCCGCGUGGGCGAUGAAGGCCUUCGGUCGUAAAGCCCUUUUGCAGGGGACGAUGAUGACGGUACCCUGCGAAUAAGCCACGGCUAACUACGUGCCAGCAGCCGC
RNAcentral lists this ribosomal RNA (463 nucleotides) under uncultured soil bacterium. RNAcentral describes it as "bacterial SSU rRNA". It matches the Rfam family "Bacterial small subunit ribosomal RNA", at positions 26 to 518 of the family's 1533-position model. The record is from RNAcentral.